Molecule: small RNA, 27 nt
Filed under: Bombyx mori (domestic silkworm)
Lineage: Eukaryota; Metazoa; Arthropoda; Insecta; Lepidoptera; Bombycidae
Description: ovarian small RNA-33113
Source: RNAcentral
UGAUUGCCAAUACCUAUGACAUUAAGU